RNAcentral lists this ribosomal RNA (2926 nucleotides) under Salmonella enterica. RNAcentral describes it as "bacterial LSU rRNA". It matches the Rfam family "Bacterial large subunit ribosomal RNA". The record is from RNAcentral. RNAcentral also lists the same sequence under 2 other names. Lineage: Bacteria; Pseudomonadati; Pseudomonadota; Gammaproteobacteria; Enterobacterales; Enterobacteriaceae.
GGGUUGUGAGGUUAAGCGACUAAGCGUACACGGUGGAUGCCCUGGCAGUCAGAGGCGAUGAAGGACGUGCUAAUCUGCGAUAAGCGCCGGUAAGGUGAUAUGAACCGUUAUAACCGGCGAUUUCCGAAUGGGGAAACCCAGUGUGACUCGUCACACUAUCAUUAACUGAAUCCAUAGGUUAAUGAGGCGAACCGGGGGAACUGAAACAUCUAAGUACCCCGAGGAAAAGAAAUCAACCGAGAUUCCCCCAGUAGCGGCGAGCGAACGGGGAGGAGCCCAGAGCCUGAAUCAGCAUGUGUGUUAGUGGAAGCGUCUGGAAAGGCGCGCGAUACAGGGUGACAGCCCCGUACACAAAAGCGCAUGUGCUGUGAGCUCGAUGAGUAGGGCGGGACACGUGGUAUCCUGUCUGAAUAUGGGGGGACCAUCCUCCAAGGCUAAAUACUCCUGACUGACCGAUAGUGAACCAGUACCGUGAGGGAAAGGCGAAAAGAACCCCGGCGAGGGGAGUGAAAAAGAACCUGAAACCGUGUACGUACAAACAGUGGGAGCACCCUUCGGGGUGUGACUGCGUACCUUUUGUAUAAUGGGUCAGCGACUUAUAUUCUGUAGCAAGGUUAACCGAAUAGGGGAGCCGGAGGGAAACCGAGUCUUAAUUGGGCGUUAAGUUGCAGGGUAUAGACCCGAAACCCGGUGAUCUAGCCAUGGGCAGGUUGAAGGUUGGGUAACACUAACUGGAGGACCGAACCGACUAAUGUUGAAAAAUUAGCGGAUGACCUGUGGCUGGGGGUGAAAGGCCAAUCAAACCGGGAGAUAGCUGGUUCUCCCCGAAAGCUAUUUAGGUAGCGCCUCGUGAAUUCAUCUCCGGGGGUAGAGCACUGUUUCGGCUAGGGGGCCAUCCCGGCUUACCAACCCGAUGCAAACUGCGAAUACCGGAGAAUGUUAUCACGGGAGACACACGGCGGGUGCUAACGUCCGUCGUGAAGAGGGAAACAACCCAGACCGCCAGCUAAGGUCCCAAAGUCAUGGUUAAGUGGGAAACGAUGUGGGAAGGCCCAGACAGCCAGGAUGUUGGCUUAGAAGCAGCCAUCAUUUAAAGAAAGCGUAAUAGCUCACUGGUCGAGUCGGCCUGCGCGGAAGAUGUAACGGGGCUAAACCAUGCACCGAAGCUGCGGCAGCGACACUGUGUGUUGUUGGGUAGGGGAGCGUUCUGUAAGCCUGCGAAGGUGGCCUGUGAGGGUUGCUGGAGGUAUCAGAAGUGCGAAUGCUGACAUAAGUAACGAUAAAGCGGGUGAAAAGCCCGCUCGCCGGAAGACCAAGGGUUCCUGUCCAACGUUAAUCGGGGCAGGGUGAGUCGACCCCUAAGGCGAGGCCGAAAGGCGUAGUCGAUGGGAAACGGGUUAAUAUUCCCGUACUUGGUGUUACUGCGAAGGGGGGACGGAGAAGGCUAUGUUGGCCGGGCGACGGUUGUCCCGGUUUAAGCGUGUAGGUGUGUGUUCCAGGUAAAUCCGGUUCACUUUAACACUGAGGCGUGACGACGAGGCACUACGGUGCUGAAGCAACAAAUGCCCUGCUUCCAGGAAAAGCCUCUAAGCAUCAGGUAACAUCAAAUCGUACCCCAAACCGACACAGGUGGUCAGGUAGAGAAUACCAAGGCGCUUGAGAGAACUCGGGUGAAGGAACUAGGCAAAAUGGUGCCGUAACUUCGGGAGAAGGCACGCUGACAUGUAGGUGAAGUGAUUUACUCAUGGAGCUGAAGUCAGUCGAAGAUACCAGCUGGCUGCAACUGUUUAUUAAAAACACAGCACUGUGCAAACACGAAAGUGGACGUAUACGGUGUGACGCCUGCCCGGUGCCGGAAGGUUAAUUGAUGGGGUCAGCGCAAGCGAAGCUCCUGAUCGAAGCCCCGGUAAACGGCGGCCGUAACUAUAACGGUCCUAAGGUAGCGAAAUUCCUUGUCGGGUAAGUUCCGACCUGCACGAAUGGCGUAAUGAUGGCCAGGCUGUCUCCACCCGAGACUCAGUGAAAUUGAACUCGCUGUGAAGAUGCAGUGUACCCGCGGCAAGACGGAAAGACCCCGUGAACCUUUACUAUAGCUUGACACUGAACAUUGAGCCUUGAUGUGUAGGAUAGGUGGGAGGCUUUGAAGCGUGGACGCCAGUCUGCAUGGAGCCGACCUUGAAAUACCACCCUUUAAUGUUUGAUGUUCUAACGUGGACCCGUAAUCCGGGUUGCGGACAGUGUCUGGUGGGUAGUUUGACUGGGGCGGUCUCCUCCUAAAGAGUAACGGAGGAGCACGAAGGUUGGCUAAUCCUGGUCGGACAUCAGGAGGUUAGUGCAAUGGCAUAAGCCAGCUUGACUGCGAGCGUGACGGCGCGAGCAGGUGCGAAAGCAGGUCAUAGUGAUCCGGUGGUUCUGAAUGGAAGGGCCAUCGCUCAACGGAUAAAAGGUACUCCGGGGAUAACAGGCUGAUACCGCCCAAGAGUUCAUAUCGACGGCGGUGUUUGGCACCUCGAUGUCGGCUCAUCACAUCCUGGGGCUGAAGUAGGUCCCAAGGGUAUGGCUGUUCGCCAUUUAAAGUGGUACGCGAGCUGGGUUUAGAACGUCGUGAGACAGUUCGGUCCCUAUCUGCCGUGGGCGCUGGAGAACUGAGGGGGGCUGCUCCUAGUACGAGAGGACCGGAGUGGACGCAUCACUGGUGUUCGGGUUGUCAUGCCAAUGGCACUGCCCGGUAGCUAAAUGCGGAAGAGAUAAGUGCUGAAAGCAUCUAAGCACGAAACUUGCCCCGAGAUGAGUUCUCCCUGAGACUUAGAGUCUCCUGAAGGAACGUUGAAGACGACGACGUUGAUAGGCCGGGUGUGUAAGCGCAGCGAUGCGUUGAGCUAACCGGUACUAAUGAACCGUGAGGCUUAACCUUACAACGCCGAAG